This 302-nucleotide unclassified non-coding RNA is filed under the name uncultured fungus. Its description in RNAcentral is "sequence contains ITS1". The stretch from base 1 to 105 matches the Rfam family "5.8S ribosomal RNA", at positions 50 to 154 of the family's 154-position model. The record is from RNAcentral. Lineage: Eukaryota; Fungi.
UAAAUGCGAUACUUACCGUGAACUGAAGACAUUUUGAACGGAAAGAUUUUGAAAGCACAUUGCGCCAUUGGAGUCUCAUCCUUUGGCACAUCUGGCUCAGGGUCGCUAUUUAAAACGCAAGCAAGCAGCGUUUACUACCGAAGCGGGUUCAAGCUCUAGCAAGCCGAGCAUGUACCUGCAUUUUGCAAUUGGCAAAAGGGGUUGCCUAAUGAGUAGUUUCAUAGAUAGCUGGACUACUUGCUAGGUGGCGAUUCCUUCGAUUUCUCGACCUGAGCUUAGGUGUGAUUACCUGCUGAACUUAA